ACCAACCUAACAAUAGUCCGGGAACCGCACUUGUAAUGCGGGGGUUAGGGGUUCAAAUCCCCUCGGCGGCUCCA
RNAcentral lists this transfer RNA (74 nucleotides) under Bacillota bacterium. RNAcentral's name for it is "Firmicutes bacterium (sediment metagenome) tRNA-Leu". Lineage: Bacteria; Bacillati; Bacillota. The record is from RNAcentral.